UCCAGACUCCUACGGGAGGCAGCAGUGGGGGAUAUUGCACAAUGGGGGGAACCCUGAUGCAGCGACGCCGCGUGGGUGAAGGAGCGUUUCGGCGCGUAAAGCCCUCUCGGCAGGGAAGAAGGAGGACGGUACCUGGCUAAGAAGCCCCGGCUAACUACGUGCCAGCAGCCGCGGUAAUACGUAGGGGGCAAGCGUUAUCCGGAUUUACUGGGUGUAAAGGGGGCGCAGACGGCAGCGCAAGCCAGGAGUGAAAGCCCGGGGCCCAACCCCGGGACUGCUCUUGGAACUGCGCGGCUGGAGUGCAGGAGGGGCAGGCGGAAUUCCUGGUGUAGCGGUGAAAUGCGUAGAUAUCAGGAGGAACACCGGUGGCGAAGGCGGCCUGCUGGACUGCGACUGACGUUGAGGCCCGAAAGCGUGGGGAGCAAACAGGAUUAGAUACCCUAGUAC
This 447-nucleotide ribosomal RNA is filed under the name uncultured bacterium. Its description in RNAcentral is "partial 16S ribosomal RNA". It matches the Rfam family "Bacterial small subunit ribosomal RNA", at positions 330 to 793 of the family's 1533-position model. The record is from RNAcentral.